Molecule: ribosomal RNA, 264 nt
Filed under: uncultured Staphylococcus sp.
Lineage: Bacteria; Bacillati; Bacillota; Bacilli; Caryophanales; Staphylococcaceae
Description: partial 16S ribosomal RNA
Rfam family: Bacterial small subunit ribosomal RNA
Source: RNAcentral
CGGACGGGUGAGUAACACGUGGGUAACCUACCUAUAAGACUGGGACAACUUCGGGAAACCGGAGCUAAUACCGGAUAAGAUAUCGAACCGCAUGGUUCGAUAGUGAAAGAUGGUUUUGCUAUCACUUAUAGAUGGACCCGCGCCGUAUUAGCUAGUUGGUGAGGUAACGGCUCACCAAGGCAACGAUACGUAGCCGACCUGAGAGGGUGAUCGGCCACACUGGAACUGAGACACGGUCCAGACUCCUNACGGGAGGCAGCAGUA